CUUGUAAGAGCCCAGCACAGCACAGAUUUACAAAAUGAUACACAAAGACCUCAGAGAGUCUUGCUUUGUUGUCCAGGCUGGAAUGCAGUGGCUCAAUUUUGGUUCACUGCAACCUGCACCUCCCAGAUUCAAGUGAUCCUCCUGCUUCAGCCUCCCGAGUAGCUGGGAUUACAGUGGUACAUCCUGUAGUUGAGGGCUUCUUACACCUGAUGAAAUACCAUAGGUUCUGCAUGUCAGAUGGAGUCUCACUCUGUCACCCAGGCUGCAGUCCAGUAGCAUGAUCCCGGCUCACUACAACCUCUGCUUCCCGGGUUCAAGCAAUUCUCCUGCUUGUGAUUUCCUCCAUUUGGAUUAGAUAAGACUGUGCUGCAAUAGGACUUUUUUGGGCUUAGAAUGAGAAAAAAGGAGGGCAUUCUCAACAAGGAAGUCCAUUUCAGAGUGAAAACAUGAAACAGUAAAAUACUUCAGUAGUUGGGCAGAAGACAGAAGAAUAAUGUCUUAACUGGACUGCGGUAGGAUACAAUGAGUUUAUAUCUAGCAGAACCUUUCAUUUAGCAUAUUAUAGUUAUGAUAUCAUAACUAAAAUUAACUUUUCUGAGACAAGGUUCAGUUUCAUGUAGAAAUGAGCAAUUAAAAAAUAAAGAUAUAUUUAUUCC
This 656-nucleotide long non-coding RNA is filed under the name Homo sapiens (human). RNAcentral describes it as "ABCA9 antisense RNA 1". Lineage: Eukaryota; Metazoa; Chordata; Mammalia; Primates; Hominidae. The record is from RNAcentral.